GUGGUGCAGUUGGUAGCACUGUUGCCUGUUGCCUUGGAGCAAUAAGGUCCUGGGUUCGAUUCCCGGC
This 67-nucleotide transfer RNA is filed under the name Xiphophorus maculatus (southern platyfish). Lineage: Eukaryota; Metazoa; Chordata; Actinopteri; Cyprinodontiformes; Poeciliidae. The record is from Rfam by way of RNAcentral.